This 1427-nucleotide long non-coding RNA is filed under the name Malus domestica (apple). RNAcentral's name for it is "long non-coding RNA (MDOM_LNC011795)". The record is from RNAcentral. Lineage: Eukaryota; Viridiplantae; Streptophyta; Magnoliopsida; Rosales; Rosaceae.
UCACAUCUGUUUUACAUAAAAGUUUACCAAAUACUAUAAUACUACUUUUUUUUUUCAAAAGCAUUUUUACAAAAAAGUUUACCAAACACUCUACAGCUUUAUUUCACAGCCGCUUAUUCUCACAGCACAACAGAAGCAACUUUUUUUCAAAGUAUAGCAAUACCAAACCAACCCUUAAUCUCUCCAUUCAUAUGCAUGCACGGAGAGAAAGGUGGAAUAGCAGACACUCUUUUAUCACAACGCUAUACCACACAAAGGUCCAUUAUUUCUCUUACAUUUUGCAACUUUUGCAGGAGAGAUCAAAACGUAAAAAUCCAGGGGAAAAAGAACAGGAAAGACCCCCCAUAGUUUAAAGAAGCAUAUUCUACUUAGAAAGCUUGAAAAAUAAAAAAAGGUGGAUCUUAUGGAAUUAGGGUUUCAGAAAAGCGAGCCAAAAGAAGCCAAAAAAGCUUGAAAACGAUCAUUCAAUUUCGACCAGCAUCUUAUAAUGAUUCUAUGUAAUGAUGUUUGCAUGAAAUUCAUCAUCAAUUUUUUUUUUUUGGAGGAGAUCAUAGUAUUAUCCGUUGCGUCCAUUGUAUACCCAGCCCAGCUAACAUUCUUCCUUUCCUCUACUCUUCAAGAUCUUAAUUUGCAUCCUAAUUAUUAAUUAGUUAAGGUUUAACUUAACUAAAUAUGCGUUCAUAGGAAUAUAGCCAAGUCAAUCAAAAUGCUCUGUGCAAUUCAAGCUACAUAUUCCAUCAUGCACGUACUUCUUUAAUUAAUUGAUUAAUUCCUUGAGAGUAACUUUAAUUAAUUUUUAAACAAUUUGGUGAGAGAAAGGAAGAAAUAGAUUUGCAACUUAGGAAGGACAUAUAUUGAAUAGCUGUCUCACUUGGACAAUUUGUUUAACUUGAAUUAUAAUUCAUGGGUUUUCUAGUUAUAAAAUUUUAAUUAUGCACACAUGUUUUAAUUGAAAUGUACAUAAGAAUGUUAAAGAUCAACUAGCAUUUGUUUUGGUGAUAAUUGUCUAGCUCAUUUGACUGAAAAAAGUAUCAAGUUCGAUUAACAUAUAUAAGCAAGAGUGUGUAAUGAGUUUGAUACUUAAUUACAUAUGAUUUGUUAUUACAUAAUUUUGUUGUGAGUAUGUUCUCGUCUAGAAACUAUAUAGCUUAUUGUUUUGACAAGCAUUAAGUUUAAUAAUUAAAAAUUAUUGUACAUGCGUAAAUUUAAACUUGCAUGACACUGUUUGUAAGUACAAUAAUGGAAUUACAUAAUUUAAAGAAGUCUGAAACGUGCUUCUCCAAUUGAUUAAAAGUCAUGAUGAACAUACUUAAUUAGUCUUUGAUCGAGGUUAAAUAAUUCUAAAGCUCUGGUUAAGAGAUCUCGAAUCCCCAACUCUCCUAUUAUCCCAUGUUGCCAUUCCAUGGACGCACUGACGGAUCCAUUAA